This 254-nucleotide ribosomal RNA is filed under the name uncultured bacterium. RNAcentral describes it as "partial 16S ribosomal RNA". It matches the Rfam family "Bacterial small subunit ribosomal RNA", at positions 524 to 776 of the family's 1533-position model. The record is from RNAcentral.
UACGUAGGGGGCGAGCGUUGUCCGAAGUUACUGGGCGUAAAGCGCGCGUAGGCGGUUAUUUAAGUUCGGGGUGAAAGGUUCAGCGCUCAACGCGAACAGUGCCUUGAAUACUGGGUGACUUGAGUUCGGGAGAGGGCAGUGGAAUUCCUGGUGUAGCGGUGAAAUGCGCAGAUAUCAGGAGGAACACCGAUGGCGAAGGCAGGUCUCUGGGCCACUACUGACGCUGAGAAGCGAAAGCAUGGGGAGCAAACAGG